RNAcentral lists this ribosomal RNA (253 nucleotides) under uncultured bacterium. RNAcentral's name for it is "partial 16S ribosomal RNA". It matches the Rfam family "Bacterial small subunit ribosomal RNA", at positions 524 to 776 of the family's 1533-position model. The record is from RNAcentral.
CACAGAGGUGGCAAGCGUUGUUCGGAAUUACUGGGCGUAAAGGGCGCGUAGGCGGCCUUCUUAGUCGGACGUGAAAUCCCCAGGCUUAACUUGGGAACUGCGUCCGAUACUGGGAGGCUUGAGUGCGGGAGAGGGAUGUGGAAUUCCAGGUGUAGCGGUGAAAUGCGUAGAUAUCUGGAGGAACACCGGUGGCGAAGGCGGCAUCCUGGACCGACACUGACGCUGAGGCGCGAAAGCUAGGGGAGCAAACGGG